GUAACGCGUGGGUAACCUGCCUCAUACAGGGGGAUAACAGUUAGAAAUGACUGCUAAUACCGCAUAAGCGCACAGUGCUGCAUGGCACAGUGUGAAGAACUCCGGUGGUAUGAGAUGGACCCGCGUCUGAUUAGCUAGUUGGUGGGGUAACGGCCUACCAAGGCGACGAUCAGUAGCCGGCCUGAGAGGGUGAACGGCCACAUUGGGACUGAGACACGGCCCAAACUCCUACGGGAGGCAGGCAUG
This 246-nucleotide ribosomal RNA is filed under the name uncultured bacterium. RNAcentral describes it as "partial 16S ribosomal RNA". It matches the Rfam family "Bacterial small subunit ribosomal RNA", at positions 110 to 351 of the family's 1533-position model. The record is from RNAcentral.